AACGAACGCUGGCGGCAGGCUUAACACAUGCAAGUCGAACGCCCCGCAAGGGGAGUGGCGCACGGGUGAGUAACACGUGGGAACAUGCCCUCUAGUACGGAACAACGUCGGGAAACUGACGCUAAUACCGUAUAAUAUCUACGGAUCAAAGAUUUAUCGGAAAAGGAUCGGCCCGCGUUGGAUUAGCUAGUUGGUGGGGU
Molecule: ribosomal RNA, 200 nt
Filed under: uncultured bacterium
Lineage: Bacteria
Description: partial 16S ribosomal RNA
Rfam family: Bacterial small subunit ribosomal RNA
Source: RNAcentral